UUGCUGCCAUUCAUACCUUACAA
Molecule: microRNA, 23 nt
Filed under: Tribolium castaneum (red flour beetle)
Lineage: Eukaryota; Metazoa; Arthropoda; Insecta; Coleoptera; Tenebrionidae
Description: Tca-Mir-3816-v1_3p (mature (guide))
Source: RNAcentral